RNAcentral lists this ribosomal RNA (253 nucleotides) under uncultured bacterium. Its description in RNAcentral is "partial 16S ribosomal RNA". It matches the Rfam family "Bacterial small subunit ribosomal RNA", at positions 524 to 776 of the family's 1533-position model. The record is from RNAcentral.
UACGGAGGGUGCAAGCGUUAUCCGGAUUCACUGGGUUUAAAGGGUGCGUAGGUGGGUCUGUAAGUCAGUGGUGACAUCUCCGAGCUUAACUCGGAAACUGCCAUUGAUACUAUAGGUCUUGAAUUAUCUGGAGGUGAGCGGAAUAUGUCGUGUAGCGGUGAAAUGCUUAGAUAUGACAUAGAACACCAAUUGCGAAGGCAGCUCACUACGGAUAUAUUGACACUGAGGCACGAAAGCGUGGGGAUCAAACAGG